This 492-nucleotide ribosomal RNA is filed under the name uncultured bacterium. RNAcentral's name for it is "partial 16S ribosomal RNA". It matches the Rfam family "Bacterial small subunit ribosomal RNA", at positions 29 to 507 of the family's 1533-position model. The record is from RNAcentral.
AGUGAACGCUGGCGGUAGGCCUAACACAUGCAAGUCGAACGGCAGCACAGUAAGAGCUUGCUCUUACGGGUGGCGAGUGGCGGACGGGUGAGGAAUACAUCGGAAUCUACUUUUUCGUGGGGGAUAACGUAGGGAAACUUACGCUAAUACCGCAUACGACCUACGGGUGAAAGCAGUGGAUCUUCGGACCUUGCGCGAUUGAAUGAGCCGAUGUCGCAUUAGCUAGUUGGCGGGGUAAAGGCCCACCAAGGCGACGAUCCGUAGCUGGUCUGAGAGGAUGAUCAGCCACACUGGAACUGAGACACGGUCCAGACUCCUACGGGAGGCAGCAGUGGGGAAUAUUGGACAAUGGGCGCAAGCCUGAUCCAGCCAUACCGCGUCGGUGAAGAAGGCCUUCGGGUUGUAAAGCCCUUUUGUUGGGAAAGAAAAGCAGCAGGUUAAUACCCCGCUGUUCUGACGGUACCCAAAGAAUAAGCACCGGCUAACUUCGUG